GGCGCGCCAACUCUCCCCACACGUCUAGCACAUUCCCAGUUGCAUAUUUUAAUAACAGCCACAUUAUAGUACAUCAUUGUAACUAGUUACAAUGUUGUACUACUGUGACUUAAAAAGUAAAAGAACAAAAAUGAAAACUAUCUAUAUAAUUAUAGCUAGAUAGUAAAGGAAAGGGAUUGGAAACGCAUUACGUCAUAUGUCACAAUCCUACUUACGGAAUGUAGCCUCGAUUACAGGCCCUCUAUUGCGGCGUAAAUCGAAGCCACAUGGUAUAAUUAUGAGAGUAUCUCAAGCUGGAGCCCUAAGCAUGUCUAAGCUCAUACUGUGGACAGUGUAAUUAAAGGAAUUUAAGGGCUUCAUGAUGGCAUCCAUAUCAGUAAAAAAGCUAGAUCUAUCAUAAUUAUUUUAGUUAGAUAAUAACAUUAUAAACACGACAACAAUGUAUUUAUAUCUUACUAAACUCCCUUUGUGAGUCUUGACACUAAUUAUAAGUGUAAUACUGUACUCUAAGGGAUCUCAAUAAUAAUUUAUUAUAAAUAUUAUAUAAUGUUUAACACAAGGUACACACAAGCAAAAAUAAACAUGUAUAUGAUAUGUACUUAAUAAUGAGGUGACAGGUGAGGUUACUAAGUGUCUUAUAAUGGUUGAAUUUAUAUCUUCCUAGAUGCUUUUGUUUUGUCGAGAGAAAGUAGGAUCUGGUUGAGGUCGAGAAUGGCUUGAAUUUUUUCUUACAAGCUUUUUGCUUCACAUCCUAAAAAGACAAUUAUAUAAAUCACAUUAAAAAACAUGUACGUAAAAGUUGUUGUAAAUCAAUAGUGGGUGUCUUGAUCACUCCAAAAUCAUUUGCACCUCAUUUACUAGCAUGAGUAUUACAACAUACAAAUAAAAAAAUACCAGAUCAACCAGAUCCUACCCUCAGGAAAUACCUCUCAACAAUCCAGUAUAGAGAAUAUUGUGUGUGUAUCGAUGGAGAGGCUUUGCUUACUUAAGGUCUAUCGCCAGUUAUUAUAGUCAGGACCAAGCAGUGAAGCGGUGACCAGCACCUAUCACCUCGGUCAAUGCUGUGUGGAGUAGAAGCGUGAUUGAUAGUAAGGGCAUGUGCAUAUGCUAUUAUUUAAGCCAUUAUAUAGAAUAGACAAUGGGUCAUAAUUGUAAAUGUAUACCUACAUCAUUACACUUGAUACAUCUAUGUACAACAGUUGAUGGCCUCUAGGUCCAGGCUGGAACAUCUCCAUAUAGUCAGCCAAGGCAUCAUGUCCCCACAAUCUGCAUGGCCACAUCACCAGCAGCAGCAGUCUUUCUUGAUAUCGGUUGAAGAACAUGCUCACAGUAUAUAGAUUUGUGUGUGCUACGUACUUAUAUCUAGUACAUGCAGGCUCUUGGCAAAUAAUAAAUCUUGUAAUGACCACGAGAUAAAAGCUCCAUGCAGUGACUUAAUACUUGGGACCGGACCGGACAGCUUGGAUCUUAAAUAUUUACGCAGUGUGGAGCAGGCUCAACAAAUAUGUCCACAUGUCACAUGCCAACAGACAUGUGUUCUCCGCGGCAAUACCCAUGGAGGUGAGGGAUGAGGGUCUAUCACUGAAUUGUUGGAAUAUAUAAGCUCCAAUCAUUCAUACAACAUUGGGCAGUUGAGGAAACACAUCGAAUCAAUAUGGGAAAGUCGCUGUCAUUCUCCUUCAAAAGUGCUAUCACCAUGCAAUUAUUUUGUUCAAGAAAGGUGGGUCUGAGUUGCUCACUGUCGUAGUGUUGUCAUACUAUAAAGAAAAGAAGUUCAAUACGUUAAACGUUCCCCAUUUUUGCAAGAUAAACAUCUUGAAGUUCAGAAUGUACCAAUCUUGUAGAACAAUGAAGAAAAUCGAGGAUAUGCUCAUCUUAAACGACAACGAAAACACAAGCAGACGAGUACAGAAAGCUAUACUGGUGUAAGCAAGCAGUGAUCGAUAUUUAUAAUCAUCGAGCAAUGUAACUCAACCCAUCCACACCCCAUGAGGUGCUGAAUUGAGUUGUUGGAUACAGGUGACCAGGGAUCUGAUCCUCUGGUUUGAUUGAGGUGAGAGGAAAUGAAUGAAUGAAAUGGCUGCCCCCUGUUAAUUUUUGGUACUGUAAUUCAGUGCAUGUGUAACUGGACUAGAAACUAACUUUUAUAGUAUCACCUUAGCAGUAGUGAUGUCAGACUGUGUGUAUGGGUGUAACACGUGAUGUUUUACCUUAGCAGUAGUGAUGUCAGGCUGUGUGUGUGGGUGUAACACGUGAUGUGUUACACGUUGGAAUAUAAGAAUUCUAAGGUACAAUGGAGGUCCAGGCCGAGACUUUACAUCCAGGUCAGUAGGAGACGUGGGUUGGCAGGGAGCUUUGGACUGGGGUCUGUGGCGAGCCUGAGCGAUGGCUGAAGGUGGAGCGACGACGGGAGCACGUGGAACCUAGGGCCUGCCAAUACCUUUCGCGUCCAGGAGUGUGAGGACGGAGUGGCUGAGACGUGUAGCCACAGCUUUGGAAGUGCCAGUGACGGCCUGUGGUUCAGACCUGGGGUUAAUGCUGGGAGGUAGACUCACGGACAUGGGCCGGAGUCCGGCUGAUGUUUGGGCCUUUGUGGACUCUGGCGAAGAGGAGCUAGAGGGAGCACACCACUCGUUGAGGGAUGCUCAGAGGACGAUAGAACAGCGGACAUGAGACGCGGUGGACACUGAAGCCGACGUUGUGGACAAAGCGUUGGACCGUAGCCCAGUAGAGGACGGUACUCUAGGAGGGCGGCAUCAACUGAGCGAAUGGCCACGUUGACCAGACUGAGCAGACUAGCCUGGAAGAGAGGUUGAGAGCUCAAGCAGAGGAGCUGGAGGGAGCACACCACUCGUUGAGUGAUGCUCAGAGGACGAUGGAAGCCGACGUUGUGGACAAAGCGUUGGACCGUAGCCCAGUAGAGGACGGUCAAGAUGACCUUGAGUGAAAAGAGGGACCGUUUGCGCGUGGGUGGAUUCAACAUUAUGUAUUAGUAGUUGCAUUCAUGAUUUCUUUUGUUGAGCUUUGCUACACCCUUAACAAGUGGUAUGAAUUUUUACAACAUAGAGAGUAUGGUUAUUGAAAGUUAUAUGCCAAAAAGAUAAAACACUAGUCACAUUGUAAAAGCCAGCACGGAAAGGAAACGAAGAUGCUUUGCAUUUUUCCAAAGUAGGCUGGAGAAAAAACAUUAUGUUUAUUCUUGUGUCCCUACUGCUGCAUUAUAACUAUUGCAGCGUGCAAGUAUGAAUGUAGAAACAAGGAAGACAUUGACGUAGAUCUGAGGGAGGUGUCACACCUCUCAGCCCUGAACAUUGAGACGUCACAGACCGAAAUCCCUUCAGCUAAUGAAGACGUCACCAUUGAGACGUCACAGACCGAGAUCCCUUCAGCUAAAUGAAGACGUCACCAUUGAGGCGGCAUAGACCGAGAUCCUGAACCCUAAUAAAGACGUCACCAUUGGGACGUCAUCCUCUCAACGGGUAAAAAAAAACGUUUAACUGAUUCGUGCCUCUACGAUGAACUUUGAAAGUUAUGCCCACCUAAAAGGUUGAAGUCUCACAAGAAGUGAGAAACUGAUGCUGCUGUUAAGAUUACUAUGUGAUUUGAAUGCUUAAGUUUAUUAAACUAAACGGGGGGAAAUUCAUGAUAGCCGGCUACCUAGUAAACUGUAAUGGACACCCAUUUAAACGUAUAAGGGGAGCAGUCUGCAGGGAGGGGGACAAAGACAAUGACAUUCAAACAAGAGAACAGGAGAAACACGCAUGAGAACACGGAGAACAGGGGAAAGCAGAGAAUCAUGAGAACGGAAAUUGUAAAAAUAAAACGGAAGAAUACGUAUGACCAUGUGGUUAGUGGUGCUGCCAUCCACAAAUAUCCAUAUCUCAACCGGCUUCAGCAUUAGCCAAUACCUCGACACUAUGGCGAUCAGCUGAGGCUACGAGUGAGGGAUUGGUAGCAAGUUUAUACCUCGGCGAUGGGGUUGUGCCCGUGCCAGAAAAGAUAAUGAAAAAAUAUAGUCUCUGGCAGCUACUACCCGGGGUGCAAGAUAAUGUUCGAGCAAGCUCAAGAAGGGAGCUUCUUCGAAUUCUCCUGGAUUUAGUGUUACAGCACUCUGGUGAGCGUGCUCGCUCACCUCAAUUGAUGGCUUACCAAUCAAUUAUCGUCAGAUGCUACACUGAUUAUGAAGGCGAUAGUUGGUUGGUAUAUGACCAAGCAUUUCGACGGAAAACGGCAUAUGAAAAGUGCUUAGACUGGCCAAAGUUAAUGCCUCGCAGGCAAUGCAAAGAAGAAUGUGGUGUGAGGAAAUUGUUUAACACACGACCACCAGACAAAGCCCUCCAGAGGCCAGGGUAUUGCACACCCGAUUCAGCAGGCCUGUAAAUUCAGGGGACUAUAAUCAAAGUGUAAGUAUAGAGAAUGCAAUUUAUACCAAUUUUGCAGUAGGUAGUAGGAGAACUACUAAUCCCCGGUGACACGCGCAAUGCGCCCACCUACCCUAAUUGCCUGCUAUUUACCAAAUCGCCAGGCAGAAACUGCUGGUGCGUCAAUACAAUCAAUAUAGAGAGUCCGUAAAUUGUGCCUUUUUGUUUCCCCACCCACCUACACCAAAAGUGGUGCCCUCAGAUGUGAACAAAAUCACAACGUAAUCGUUGCUCACGUACACUGUGUCACUGCAAAGAUACCUGACUACCUGAGAAUGCUCUCAAAAUAUUGACAUUCAGCAUCGAAGACUUGUACUCGAUUACGAUCAGUCACAUAGAGGUUGUUGGCGCUAUCAAAUGCUGCACUAUUAUUGUACAAACUUUAGUUCAGUAUAGAGAGAACUUGUAUCAUAGGCGAGUUAAGCAUAUAAUAUACUCUAACAAAUACCAAACAGGCAUCCAGCCUGGACUAUCAACUGCUAGAAUACCAUCACGAAUGAACAAUCUAUCACAAAGCUUGAAGAAAUGCGAAGAGAUUUUUUUAUCAAAAUGAUGUUGCAAAGACACUUAUAACCUCGAUAUUCCAGCUUGUUUUGGUUGACCAAGAUAUGACGGCAAAUUCUGUUCACAAGUAUCCACCACCACAAACGUUAAAUCACAAGUGUUGGGGCUGAGCUGGACUACUAGAGGGAUAUGGCAGAAAAAAUCCUACACUUUCAAAAUUGAAGGUAUAACUGAUGGAGCCUUACUUGAUAGUGAAAACAAUCAGCUGGUUAUCGCAGAGGCCAAACAUGUGAAAUCACAUUCCGAAGCCGGGAAGGGGCAGCUAUUGCUAUCUAUGUUGAUGAGCUUUUUGAAAAAGGACAUGGCCAGUUCUGUGUGGGGGUUCCUGGUUUCAGAUAAAAGUUUGACAAUAGUCCGUAUGCACCUAGCGAAGGAUUUGGAAAGAUGGGCAGCAUACGGAACUUGCAGCCUCUUCUAUCAGCAUGUUUCUAUGCCCUCCAACAAAAUUUGGAUGCCACAAAUUUGGGCAACAAUUUGAAUUCAAACAGUUUGGACAACAAGCGACAAAGGCAAGAUUUGUUGGAAAUAUCCGGUGAGUACAAGUUACCAACCAACUUAACUGUCCCCCACAGCACACUCAUUGUUGUCGGUCCCAAUUGCUCACAACACUGAAUAAAUUUGACAUCUGUCUGUUACCAACCAACUUAACUGUCCCCACAGCACACUCAUUGUUGUCGGUCCCCAUUGCUCACAACACUGAAUAUGGAGAUGAUGUUCAGUCAUCGUCGUCGGUUGAAACCUCACACUUGUCGAUCCCUGUUUCCACUGAAUAUGGAGAUGAUGUUCAGUCAUCGUCGUCGUGUGAGUUUAGGGUUUAUACAAAAUUUGACAUCGCUCAGAACACUGAAGAUGUUCUGAAGGAGUCCAAUGAUGACUGAGAGUCUUGACUAUAUAUAUACAUUUCUUUUUGAAGCUAUUUCGUGUUGUCUUUUUAGUAUUUCAAAAUCUAUUGAAACUAUUUCCUGUUU
This is a long non-coding RNA of Halichondria panicea, 5953 nucleotides long. RefSeq lists it as uncharacterized. The transcript is spliced from 7 exons. The record is from RefSeq and is a predicted model, not a curated record. NCBI's taxonomy places the organism in Eukaryota, Metazoa, Porifera, Demospongiae, Suberitida, Halichondriidae.